GGGGUUGUACCUCAAUUGGUAGAGGUCACGCCUUUUAAGCGAUGAAGUUGCAGGUUCGAGUCCUGUCAGCCCCA
RNAcentral lists this transfer RNA (74 nucleotides) under Candidatus Bathyarchaeota archaeon. RNAcentral's name for it is "tRNA-Lys". It matches the Rfam family "tRNA". From Rfam's summary of the family: Transfer RNA (tRNA) molecules are approximately 80 nucleotides in length. Their secondary structure includes four short double-helical elements and three loops (D, anti-codon, and T loops). Lineage: Archaea; Thermoproteati; Candidatus Bathyarchaeota. The record is from RNAcentral.